UUUUAAAAAAUUAGGAAGAGGACAUACGUUUGCUUACGGCCAUACCUCUCUGGCUCCGCCUGAUCUCGUCUGAUCUCAGAGGCUAAGCAGAGUAGGGCCUGGUUAGUACUUGGAUGGAAGACCGCCUGGGACUCCCAGGUGCCGUAAGCUUUUUCAAUUCUAUUUGUAAAAGACACAGAGAAGGCCUUAGAAAGUGACUCCAUUUAAUUGUCAAAACUACAAAACCUUUGACACAUUUUAAAAGAUUAGGUAGAGGACAUACAGUUGCUUACGGCCAUACCUCUCUGGCUCCGCCUGAUCUCGUCUGAUCUCAGAAGCUAAGCAGAGUAGGGCCUGGUUAGUACUUGGAUGGAAGACCGCCUGGGAAUCCCAGGUGCCGUAAGCUUUUUCAUUUCUCUCUCUGGAAGAAAUUGAGAAGGCAUUAGAAAGUGAAUCCUUUUUCAUUAUCAAAACUCCAAAACCUUUGACACAUUUUAAAAUAUUAGGAAGAGGACAUACAGUUGCUUACGGCCAUACCUCUCUGGCUCCGCCUGAUCUCGUCUGAUCUCAGAAGCUAAGCAGAGUAGGGCCUGGUUAGUACUUGGAUGGAAGACCGCCUGGGAAUCCCAGGUGCCGUAAGCUUUUUCAUUUCUCUCUCUGGAAGAAAUUGAGAAGGCAUUAGAAAGUGAAUCCUUUUUCAUUAUCAAAACUCCAAAACCUUUGACACAUAUUAAAAGAUUAGGUAGAGGACAUACAGUUGCUUACGGCCAUACCUCUCUGGCUCCGCCUGAUCUCGUCUGAUCUCAGAAGCUAAGCAGAGUAGGGCCUGGUUAGUACUUGGAUGGAAGACCGCCUGGGAAUCCCAGGUGCCGUAAGCCUUUUCAUUUCUCUUUCGGGAAGAAAUCGAGAAGGCAUUAGAAAGUGAAUCCUUUUUCAUUAUCAAAACUCCAAAACCUUUGACACAUUUUAAAAGAUUAGGAAGAGGACAUACAGUUGCUUACGGCCAUACCUCUCUGGCUCCGCCUGAUCUCGUCUGAUCUCAGAAGCUAAGCAGAGUAGGGCCUGGUUAGUACUUGGAUGGAAGACCGCCUGGGAAUCCCAGGUGCUGUAAGCUUUUUCAUUUCGAUCUGUAAAAGACACAGAGAAGGCCUUAGAAAGUGACUCCUUUUUCAUUAUCAAAACUCCAAAACCUUUGACACAUUUUAAAAGAUUAGGAAGAGGACAUACAGUUGCUUACGGCCAUACCUCUCUGGCUCCGCCUGAUCUCGUCUGAUCUCAGAAGCUAAGCAGAGUAGGGCCUGGUUAGUACUUGGAUGGAAGACCGCCUGGGAAUCCCAGGUGCCGUAAGCUUUUUCAUUUCUCUCUCUGGAAGAAAUUGAGAAGGCAUUAGAAAGUGAAUCC
This is a long non-coding RNA of Gasterosteus aculeatus aculeatus (three-spined stickleback), 1380 nucleotides long. NCBI's taxonomy places the organism in Eukaryota, Metazoa, Chordata, Actinopteri, Perciformes, Gasterosteidae. The record is from Ensembl.